GCCAGCGCCGCCGAGAAGCCUUUUCUGUUUAUGUUUCCUCAUUUCGGCAGUGACGUCAAAGGGUUUAGUUUUUCCUCUGCAUGUGCUAUUAAUUUUAAGCGACUGCUAUGGGAGGAAUGUGGCAGUGAUUUAGCCUAAGCGAAAGGAACCGGAGUCGUGAUUUAUCUGUCCUGGAUUCAGCUCUGAAAGGUUUUGUAUCCGGAGGUACCAGAAAGAUCCAAAAUACCCUCGCAACGUGGAGAAAAGCUAUAAAUAUGCUUACAUACAUUCAAGCAUUCUUAAGCACACGCAAGAUGUUUUCCAGGGAGGGCUGGGUUACCUCUAUGGGCCGUGGUGCAAAAUCAGAGCCGAUUCUGCCCUCGCCCUACAGUAAAUCAGGAACUGCUUGUCUAAGUUCAGCAGUGUCACACCAGUGUAAACCAGCCUAAGGAGAUAAGACUGAGACUACCGUACACAUCCUUUUAUCAGCCAGCAGGAGCUCCGCUGCAGAGCUGCUUUCCUCACCCCAUCCGAGGCACAGACGCCCUUGAGGGCUGAUCCGGGCGAGCAGCUGCUCCUUCCAGCAGCCAGCUGUGCUCGCCUCCGAGCUCGGCUGUGAACCAUCACACCGCCUUUUAUUCCCUACCAAAGUCCACAUCAAAAGGCAAAAGGAAGGUAGAGCCUGCCUUUCAGUAUAGCCGCACCAUUGACAGCGGAGAAGUCACGCUGCUGAAGCUUCGAGAAACAAAUAGUCUUCAUCGAGGUCAAUUAGCGUGGGCAAAAAAGGGCUAAACCAGCACAGGAUAAUUGAUAGGAGGCCACUUGACAACAGAACCAGUUUUGGGAAUGUCAGCUGAAAAUCAAAUGGAUUUCAGUGGGAGUGAUCUGGAGUCUGUGAAGAAAGACUGAGGUCGAUGCUGUUUAGUCCAAAGAAAGGAGAGUUGCAUUUAAAUGACUUCCAAAGUGUGUCAGUCGGAUUGCUAAGUGAAGAGGACGACAGCACAGUGCCCUCAGAGUCAGGUCUCCUGGCCACAGAGCAGUGAAAAGCCCCAGAGUCAGUGAAAAUCAUGGCAGCAAAGGUGCAGUUCUUACAGCUACCACAGAUGCACAGAGGACUCCAUCGCAUGGGACAAAGGAGCUGACACUCCGUUCCCAGGCACUGAAAAAGAAGGAGGAGCUUGAGUGACCCCUCAUGCUGCAUGGGUUUUGUACGGCAGGCACAUCAGAUCAUCUGAUGCAAACUGAAAACUCAUUAAAGGAGAUUAUGGAGCAAACUGUUGACCUUUAUUUUGUCACAUCACAAGAUCCAGUGAUGUGUAACCUCCUGCUAAGAGCUGCUUAGUGCCUGAAGAGUGGAAGAUGAAUGUCUGCCAGAUGAAGACUCGAUAUAAGGAUCUUGACUGGGCAUCAGAGCUCUGUGUUGGCUUUGCUUUGCUUCCUGCAGGAAAGGUAAGGGUCUGGUUUGUACCUCUUGGGUUUUCAAAUUAAAUACUUCCAGUGUGAUCCAAGAGUAUGCAACAUAACUAGUUUUUGAAUUCACAGAGAGAUUAAAAAGAAACCAUAGUUCAACGCGUGAACAGCCCCAUUCAUUGCAAGACUCUUACCUCAUGUAAAUAAUAUUUUAAAAUAUCAGCACUCUUAACUAUUUUGUUA
This is a non-coding RNA of Cyanistes caeruleus (blue tit), 1632 nucleotides long. NCBI's taxonomy places the organism in Eukaryota, Metazoa, Chordata, Aves, Passeriformes, Paridae. The record is from RefSeq and is a predicted model, not a curated record.